GAUGAACGCUGGCGGCGUGCUUAACACAUGCAAGUCGAACGAGAAGUGAAGACGGAAACCUUCGGGCGGAAGACUUUAUUUCGAGUGGCGGACGGGUGAGUAACGCGUGGGUAACCUGCCUCAUACAGGGGGAUAACAGUUGGAAACGACUGUUAAUACCGCAUAAGACCACAGCACCGCAUGGUGCGGGGGUAAAAACUCCGGUGGUAUGAGAUGGACCCGCGUUCGAUUAGCCAGUUGGCGGGGUAACGGCCCACCAAAGCGACGAUCGAUAGCCGAUCUGAGAGGAUGACCGGCCACAUUGGGACUGAGACACGGCCCAAACUCCUACGGGAGGCAGCAGUGGGGAAUAUUGCACAAUGGGGGAAACCCUGAUGCAGCGACGCCGCGUGAGUGAAGAAGUAUUUCGGUAUGUAAAGCUCUAUCAGCAG
RNAcentral lists this ribosomal RNA (431 nucleotides) under Lachnospiraceae bacterium oral taxon 419. RNAcentral describes it as "bacterial SSU rRNA". It matches the Rfam family "Bacterial small subunit ribosomal RNA", at positions 28 to 442 of the family's 1533-position model. Lineage: Bacteria; Bacillati; Bacillota; Clostridia; Lachnospirales; Lachnospiraceae. The record is from RNAcentral.